This 465-nucleotide ribosomal RNA is filed under the name Vreelandella stevensii. RNAcentral's name for it is "partial 16S ribosomal RNA". It matches the Rfam family "Bacterial small subunit ribosomal RNA", at positions 338 to 795 of the family's 1533-position model. Lineage: Bacteria; Pseudomonadati; Pseudomonadota; Gammaproteobacteria; Oceanospirillales; Halomonadaceae. The record is from RNAcentral.
CCUACGGGCGGCAGCAGUGGGGAAUAUUGGACAAUGGGGGCAACCCUGAUCCAGCCAUGCCGCGUGUGUGAAGAAGGCCCUCGGGUUGUAAAGCACUUUCAGUGAGGAAGAACGCCUGGUGGUUAAUACCCAUCAGGAAAGACAUCACUCACAGAAGAAGCACCGGCUAACUCCGUGCCAGCAGCCGCGGUAAUACGGAGGGUGCGAGCGUUAAUCGGAAUUACUGGGCGUAAAGCGCGCGUAGGUGGCUUGAUAAGCCGGUUGUGAAAGCCCCGGGCUCAACCUGGGAACGGCAUCCGGAACUGUCAAGCUAGAGUGCAGGAGAGGAAGGUAGAAUUCCCGGUGUAGCGGUGAAAUGCGUAGAGAUCGGGAGGAAUACCAGUGGCGAAGGCGGCCUUCUGGACUGACACUGACACUGAGGUGCGAAAGCGUGGGUAGCAAACAGGAUUAGAUACCCCAAUAGUC